GAUGAACGCUAGCGGCAGGCCUAACACAUGCAAGUCGAGGGGCAGCACAGAAACAGCAAUGUUUUGGUGGCGACCGGCGGACGGGUGCGUAACGCGUAUGCAACCUACCUUUAACAGGGGGAUAACGGAGAGAAAUUUCCACUAAUACCCCAUAACAUCGAUCAAGGCAUCUUGAUUGGUUGAAAACUCCGGUGGUUAAAGAUGGGCAUGCGUUGUAUUAGGUAGGUGGUGAGGUAAUGGCUCACCAAGCCUACGAUACAUAGGGGGACUGAGAGGUUAACCCCCCACACUGGUACUGAGACACGGACCAGACUCCUACGGGAGGCAGCAGUGAGGAAUAUUGGUCAAUGGGGGCAACCCUGAACCAGCCAUGCCGCGUGCAGGAAGACGGCUCUAUGAGUUGUAAACUGCUUUUAAACAGGGAUAAAGCACAGUAUGUAUACUGUGUUGAAGGUACUGUAAGAAUAAGAAUCGGCUAACUCCGUGCCAGCAGCCGCCGUAA
This 502-nucleotide ribosomal RNA is filed under the name uncultured bacterium. RNAcentral describes it as "partial 16S ribosomal RNA". It matches the Rfam family "Bacterial small subunit ribosomal RNA", at positions 28 to 523 of the family's 1533-position model. The record is from RNAcentral.